RNAcentral lists this unclassified non-coding RNA (391 nucleotides) under soil metagenome. Its description in RNAcentral is "partial contains 5.8S ribosomal RNA, internal transcribed spacer 2, and large subunit ribosomal RNA". The stretch from base 1 to 122 matches the Rfam family "5.8S ribosomal RNA", at positions 35 to 154 of the family's 154-position model. The record is from RNAcentral.
GAUGAAGAACGUAGCGAAAUGCGAUACUUGGUGUGAAUUGCAGAAUCCCGUGAACCAUCGAGUCUUUGAACGCAGGUUGCGCCCGAAGCCAUUAGGCCGAGGGCACGCCUGCCUGGGCGUCACACGUCGUUGCCCCCCCAUCUACUCCUUCGGGAUUGCGGGGGGCGGAUGAUGGCCUCCCGUGCGCCUCGCCGCGCGGUUGGCAUAAAUGCCAAGUCCUCGGCGACGCACGCCACGACAAUCGGUGGUUGCGAAACCUCGGUUGCCCGUCGUGUGCGGUCGUCGCGCAUCGAGGGCUCGAAAAAAUUGCCGGGUUCCGGCUCGGCUUUCAACGCGACCCCAGGUCAGGCGGGGUUACCCGCUGAAUUUAAGCAUAUCAAUAAGCGGAGGA